GACGAACGCUGGCGGCGUGCCUAAUACAUGCAAGUAGAACGCUGAAGGAGGAGCUUGCUCUUCUGGAUGAGUUGCGAACGGGUGAGUAACGCGUAGGUAACCUGCCUGGUAGCGGGGGAUAACUAUUGGAAACGAUAGCUAAUACCGCAUAAGAGUAGAUGUUGCAUGACAUUUACUUAAAAGGUGCAAUUGCAUCACUACCAGAUGGACCUGCGUUGUAUUAGCUAGUUGGUGGGGUAACGGCUUACCAAGGCGACGAUACAUAGCCGACCUGAGAGGGUGAUCGGCCACACUGGGACUGAGACACGGCCCAGACUCCUACGGGAGGCAGCAGUAGGGAAUCUUCGGCAAUGGACGGAAGGCUGACCGAGCAACGCCGCGUGAGUGAAGAAGGUUUUCGGAUCGUAAAGCUCUGUUGUAAGAGAAGAACGAGUGUGAGAGUGGAAAGUUCACACUGUGACGGUAUCUUACCAGAAAGGGACGGCUAACUACGUG
This 495-nucleotide ribosomal RNA is filed under the name uncultured bacterium. RNAcentral describes it as "partial 16S ribosomal RNA". It matches the Rfam family "Bacterial small subunit ribosomal RNA", at positions 28 to 507 of the family's 1533-position model. The record is from RNAcentral.